CUCCUUUACAAAUUUACAUCAUUAUAUAUUUUGUGGUGUUGGGUCACUCCUAUGUGGCAUGUAUUACGGAGUAUAUUAAAUACAUGGGGAGAAACUAAAAGUUUGAGAGGUAGUAGUCAUGCAGCAAUGCAUGUGGACUGCUACUUUUUUUUUUUUUUUUUUUGGUAACUUUCCACUCUUCAUUCUGUUUUCUCAAGAGUCAAGACCACAAAUUCACUUUUUUUUUUUAAAGACUACUCCACUUCAACUCUCUAUUUUAUUACUCCAUUUCAACUCAUCUCAAUUUUAUUGAUUCUAUUCAGACAGUACGCAACAAGCAGAAAAAGAGGAGAAAAUCCAUUUUUUUCUUCUACUUUAUUUUGCUUUGCUGAGGAGCAAAGAAAACCAUCUUCUUUUUACUUUAUUCUCCACUUUUAGUUUAAAUUU
Long non-coding RNA from Ipomoea nil (Japanese morning glory), 426 nucleotides. RefSeq lists it as uncharacterized. The transcript is spliced from 3 exons. The record is from RefSeq and is a predicted model, not a curated record. Lineage: Eukaryota; Viridiplantae; Streptophyta; Magnoliopsida; Solanales; Convolvulaceae.